This 446-nucleotide ribosomal RNA is filed under the name Dyella sp. OKI-45. Its description in RNAcentral is "bacterial SSU rRNA". It matches the Rfam family "Bacterial small subunit ribosomal RNA", at positions 30 to 466 of the family's 1533-position model. The record is from RNAcentral. Lineage: Bacteria; Pseudomonadati; Pseudomonadota; Gammaproteobacteria; Lysobacterales; Rhodanobacteraceae.
UGAACGCUGGCGGCAUGCCUAACACAUGCAAGUCGAACGGCAGCACAGUAGAGCUUGCUCUAUGGGUGGCGAGUGGCGGACGGGUGAGUAAUGCAUCGGGAUCUACCCAAACGUGGGGGAUAACGUAGGGAAACUUACGCUAAUACCGCAUACGUCUUACGAGAGAAAGCAGGGGACCUUCGGGCCUUGCGCGGUUGGACGAACCGAUGUGCGAUUAGCUAGUUGGUAGGGUAAUGGCCUACCAAGGCGACGAUCGCUAGCUGGUCUGAGAGGAUGAUCAGCCACACUGGAACUGAGACACGGUCCAGACUCCUACGGGAGGCAGCAGUGGGGAAUAUUGGACAAUGGGCGCAAGCCUGAUCCAGCAAUGCCGCGUGUGUGAAGAAGGCCUUCGGGUUGUAAAGCACUUUUAUCAGGAGCGAAAUACCAUUGGCUAAUAACCGAUG